UACGUAGGGGGCAAGCGUUGUCCGGAAUCAUUGGGCGUAAAGCGCGUGUAGGCGGCUCGAUAAGUCUGCUGUGAAAGUCCAGGGCUCAACCCUGGGAUGCCGGUGGAUACUGUCGAGCUCGAGUCCGGAAGAGGCGAGUGGAAUUCCUGGUGUAGCGGUGAAAUGCGCAGAUAUCAGGAGGAACACUAAUGGCGAAGGCAGCUCGCUGGGACGUGACUGACGCUGAGACGCGAAAGCGUGGGGAGCAAACAGG
Molecule: ribosomal RNA, 253 nt
Filed under: uncultured bacterium
Lineage: Bacteria
Description: partial 16S ribosomal RNA
Rfam family: Bacterial small subunit ribosomal RNA
Source: RNAcentral